CUACCUUCUGCAUCAUCUUCUUUUAUUGGUAAAUGAUUUAACCAUACUUUUAUGAG
This 56-nucleotide non-coding RNA is filed under the name Plasmodium falciparum 3D7. Lineage: Eukaryota; Apicomplexa; Aconoidasida; Haemosporida; Plasmodiidae. The record is from RNAcentral.